This 339-nucleotide non-coding RNA is filed under the name Lactobacillus acetotolerans. RNAcentral describes it as "T-box sequence". It matches the Rfam family "T-box leader". From Rfam's summary of the family: Uncharged tRNA acts as the effector for transcription antitermination of genes in the T-box leader family. T-boxes are found upstream of many aminoacyl-tRNA synthetase genes and some amino acid biosynthetic genes usually in Gram-positive bacteria. The anticodon of a specific tRNA base pairs to a specifier sequence within the T-box motif, and the NCCA acceptor tail of the tRNA base pairs to a conserved bulge in the T-box antiterminator hairpin. The record is from RNAcentral. Lineage: Bacteria; Bacillati; Bacillota; Bacilli; Lactobacillales; Lactobacillaceae.
GGAAUAACUUAGAGCAGAAAUAGUAAUUAAAGAUAAGUUAUUAGAGAGCCUUUGUUGAUGAGAAUAAGGUAACUACUUUAAUGAAAUCACAUCUGUGAGUUGAUUUUCUGAAGUUAGUAGGAGAAUCCGGGAUAUAGCCCGUUACAGCUAAAGGUUUAUUAAUAAACUUAGUGAGGCAGUUAACGUGAGUUGACCGUGAACAUGAGGUGGAAGCACGAUUGAUUCGCCCUCGUAGCCAAUUGGCUAUGGGGGCUUUUAUUUUUGUUAAUAAACUUAGUGAGACAGAUAAUGUGAGUUAUCUGUGAAUAUGGGGUGGAACCACGGUUGAUCGUCCUCUUA